Long non-coding RNA from Cyanistes caeruleus (blue tit), 493 nucleotides. RefSeq lists it as uncharacterized. NCBI's taxonomy places the organism in Eukaryota, Metazoa, Chordata, Aves, Passeriformes, Paridae. The record is from RefSeq and is a predicted model, not a curated record.
UCUACUGGGACCAAAUUAACAUGGCAAGGUGCUCUGUUCUUUUCUUAGAGGAGUCCACCCAGCCGUUCAGUCUGCUGCUGACAGGAGUGCCUGGAGCAACCAGACUUGGAUGGGAGAUGCUGGUGUGCCCUAAAAGAUCAGAAUAUGAGCCAGAUGCUUGCAUGGAGAAGAUUUGAACAGAUUGGUUGAAUAAAUACUCCUGUGUCUUGUACUGCUGCAGGUGAAUAUGAUGAAACUGGAGCCUGGGAGACACUUUCUGUGACAUGCUAGUCUCUUCAGGAAUUAGUGGGAUGUCGCUUUGAAAAUGUGACAUGAUAGAAACUGGUGAGCUGUGCUCUCUCAUGCAAUAAAGUUUACAUCAAGAUUGAAGUGUUUCUUCAGGUUAAUAUAGCCCAUAACUUCUAUGUGAAUUGUCCUCAAAACUACCAUUUUUUAAGUGAGAGAGCACACAAAAUAUCUUAUCUGUCUGGUCUGUGUUGGGAAAUAGUAUAAA